Molecule: long non-coding RNA, 346 nt
Filed under: Androctonus crassicauda
Lineage: Eukaryota; Metazoa; Arthropoda; Arachnida; Scorpiones; Buthidae
Source: RNAcentral
UUUAUUAUUGUUUAACACACUAAAUUACAAAAUACACUAUUUUAUACACAAUACAUCCAAUUUAUUAACCCUUGUAAAUUGGAAUGAAGUCUUCCAGCAGCACCUUAAAUAUCCAUAACCCCAUAACCUUCUCUCUCUAUUGCAAAACGUUGCCACAGUUGUCCAAGGAAUGCCAUAUUCUUGAGUUACAUCUUAAUUGUUCUAUCUUUCUGUACUUCAUCUACAAUUUCUUUCUUCUUCUUUAUGCUCAGUUGAGUGUUGUUUUUUCCGGAAUUAUUCCUCUGGUCAGUUCUCUUUGAACCCAUCCUUACAUUUCAUUCAAAAAUGUAAUAAUAAUUAUGUAUGC